GGCAAGGUGGCCGAGCGGUCCAAGGCGCCACGUUAAGGUGUUAACCCUUGAUUUAAAUCCGUGGUCUCGAAAGGGGCGUGAGUUCGAAUCUCACCCUUGUUA
Molecule: transfer RNA, 102 nt
Filed under: Thermochaetoides thermophila DSM 1495
Lineage: Eukaryota; Fungi; Ascomycota; Sordariomycetes; Sordariales; Chaetomiaceae
Description: Chaetomium thermophilum var. thermophilum DSM 1495 tRNA
Rfam family: tRNA
About the family: Transfer RNA (tRNA) molecules are approximately 80 nucleotides in length. Their secondary structure includes four short double-helical elements and three loops (D, anti-codon, and T loops).
Source: Rfam by way of RNAcentral